UUCCAAGCUACAAAAAGCCAACGGUGGAUGCCUUGGCGCCUAGCACCGAUGAAGGACGUGGGUGGCCACGAAAGGCCACGGGGAGCUGCCGACCAAGCUUUGAUCCGUGGAUGUCCGAAUGGGGAAACCCGG
This 132-nucleotide ribosomal RNA is filed under the name uncultured bacterium yo10. RNAcentral's name for it is "partial 23S ribosomal RNA". It matches the Rfam family "Bacterial large subunit ribosomal RNA", at positions 1 to 131 of the family's 2925-position model. The record is from RNAcentral.